RNAcentral lists this ribosomal RNA (809 nucleotides) under uncultured bacterium. RNAcentral's name for it is "bacterial SSU rRNA". It matches the Rfam family "Bacterial small subunit ribosomal RNA", at positions 29 to 835 of the family's 1533-position model. The record is from RNAcentral.
UUGAACGCUGGCGGAAUGCUUCACACAUGCAAGUCGAACGGCAGCACGGACUUCGGUCUGGUGGCGAGUGGCGAACGGGUGAGUAAUAUAUCGGAACGUAUCCAAUAAUGGGGGAUAACUAAUCGAAAGGUUGGCUAAUACCGCAUACCCCCUACGGGGGGAAAGCUAGGGACUUUCGGGCCUGGCGUUAAUGGAGCGGCCGAUAUCUGAUUAGCUAGUUGGUGAGGUAAGAGCUCACCAAGGCGACGAUCAGUAGCUGGUCUGAGAGGACGACCAGCCACACUGGAACUGAGACACGGUCCAGACUCCUACGGGAGGCAGCAGUGGGGAAUUUUGGACAAUGGGCGCAAGCCUGAUCCAGCCAUUCCGCGUGAGUGAAGAAGGCUUCGGGUUGUAAAGCUCUUUCGCAAGGGAAGAAAACUUAGUUACUAAUAUUAACUGAGGUUGACGGUACCUUGAUAAGAAGCACCGGCUAACUACGUGCCAGCAGCCGCGGUAAUACGUAGGGUGCGAGCGUUAAUCGGAAUUACUGGGCGUAAAGCGUGCGCAGGCUGUUUUGUAAGUCAGAUGUGAAAUCCCCGAGCUCAACUUGGGAACUGCGUUUGAAACUACAAGACUAGAAUAUGUCAGAGGGGGGUAGAAUUCCACGUGUAGCAGUGAAAUGCGUAGAGAUGUGGAGGAACACCGAUGCGAAGGCACCCCCUGGGCCAAUACUGACGCUCAUGCACGAAAGCGUGGGUAGCAAACAGGAUUAGAUACCCUGGUAGUCCACGCCCUAAACGAUGUCAACUAGGUGUUGGGAGGGUAAA